Molecule: long non-coding RNA, 1357 nt
Organism: Oncorhynchus tshawytscha (Chinook salmon)
Lineage: Eukaryota; Metazoa; Chordata; Actinopteri; Salmoniformes; Salmonidae
Source: Ensembl
AGAGAGAUCAGAGACAGAGAGCAGAGAGAUCAGAGACAGAGAGCAGAGAGAUCAGAGACAGAGAGCAGAGAGAUCAGAGACAGAGCAGAGAUAUCAGAGACAGAGAGCAGAGAGAUCAGACGGAGAGAGAGCAGAGAGAGCAGAGGGAGAGAGAAAGGUUAAGGUUAGGACACAUGGGUUAGGGUGGGACACAUGGGUUAGGACACAUGGGUUAGGACACAUGGGUUAGGGAACAUGGGUUAGGGUUAGGAAACAUGGGUUAGGGAACAUGGGUUAGGGCACAAGGGUUAGGGCACAUGGGUUAGGGUUAGGUAACAUGGGUUAGGGUACAUGGGUUAGGGAACAUGGGUAGGGUUAGGGAACAUGGGGUAGGGUUAGGGCACAUGGCUUAGGAGACAUGGUUUAGGGCACAUAGGUUAGGGUUAGGGAACAUGGGUUAGGGAACAUGGGGUAGGGUUAGGGAACAUGGGUUAGGGAACAUGGGUUAGGGUACAUCGGUUAGGGAACAUGGGUUAGGGAACAUGGGUAGGGUUAGUGAACAUGGGUUAGGGAACAUGGGUUAGGGACCAUGGGUUAGCGUACAUGGGGUAGGGAACAUGGGGUAGGGAACAUGGGUUAGGGAACAUGGGGUAGGGAACAUGGGUUAGGGAACAUGGGGUAGAGAACAUGGGUCAGGGAACAUGGGGUAGGGAACAUGGGUCAGGGAACAUGGGGAAGGGUUAGGGAACAUGGGGUAGGGAACAUGGGUUAGGGAGCAUGGGGUAGGGUACAUGGGGUAGGGAACAUGGGGUAGGGAACAUGGGUUAGGGAGCAUGGGUCAGGGAACAUGGGUUAGGGUUAGGGAACAUGGGGUAGGGAACAUGGGGUAGGGAACAUGGGGUAGGGAACAUGGGUUAGGGAGCAUGGGUUAGGGAGCAUGGGUUAGGGAACAUGGGGUAGGGAACAUGGGGUAGGGAUCAUGGGGUAGGGAACAUGGGGUAGGGAACAUGGGGUAGGGAAUGUGGGUUAGGGGACAUGGGUUAGGGAACAUGGGGUAGGGUUAGGGCAAAUGGGUUAGGGAACAUGGGGUAGGGAACAUGGGGUAGGGAACAUGGGGAAGGGAACAUGGGGUAGGGAGCAUGGGGUAGGGUACAUGGGGUAGGGAACAUGGGUUAGGGAACAUGGGGUAGGGUACAUGGGUUAGGGUUAGGGAACAUGGGUUAGGGAACAUGGGGUAGGGAACAUGGGUUAGGGUUAGGGAACAUGGGUUAGGGUUAGGGAACAUGGGUUAGGGAACAUGGGGUAGGGGACAUGGGUUAGGGAACAUGGGGUAGGGAACAUGGGGUAGGGAACAUGGGGUAGGGUACAUGGGUUAGGG